UACAGAGGAUGCAAGCGUUAUCCGGAAUGAUUGGGCGUAAAGCGUCUGUAGGUGGCUUUUUAAGUCCGCCGUCAAAUCCCAGGGCUCAACUCUGGACAGGCGGUGGAAACUACCAAGCUGGAGUACGGUAGGGGCAGAGGGAAUUUCCGGUGGAGCGGUGAAAUGCGUAGAUAUCAGGAGGAACACCUGCGGUGUAGACGGCUUACUGGACCAUAACUGACGCUGAGGCACGAAAGCGUGGGUAGCAAACAGG
This 253-nucleotide ribosomal RNA is filed under the name uncultured bacterium. RNAcentral's name for it is "partial 16S ribosomal RNA". It matches the Rfam family "Bacterial small subunit ribosomal RNA", at positions 524 to 776 of the family's 1533-position model. The record is from RNAcentral.